AAUGUGGUGAUGACUUCUCAAACAAAUUGUGCUUGAAUUAAACCCUCUAAAAAGAGGAACUUCCUAAGUGAAGUAAACAAGUUGUAGCACUACUUAGGGUGAUCAUAGAAACUUGGAGGAAAGGAUACCCCCUCACGGACUUCCAAUGUGAAAUGAUAGCCCCUAGGCAUCUACAAGCCCCCAAAUGUAUAAAUUCAUCAAGUCUAUCUUAACUCUCCCACUUCUCUUAUAUGAAAUGAAGAAAAGAUUUUUCUCGGUCAUUUUAGUGUU
Molecule: long non-coding RNA, 270 nt
Filed under: Medicago truncatula (barrel medic)
Lineage: Eukaryota; Viridiplantae; Streptophyta; Magnoliopsida; Fabales; Fabaceae
Description: long non-coding RNA (MTRU_LNC006234)
Source: RNAcentral